AAAGCAACGCCGCUAAGGCGUCAUAGUAGAGGCGACGUGCACCAAACCAAGCCUUCAACCUUGCACGCAUGGGCGCCCAACAACCGUCGCCGGAGACCACGAGGGCGACCACCAAGUCGCACCGAUGAGAUCCAUAGGUCUGCAUGCAUGUCAAGGGUGAAUGCCAGGACCAACAUGUUCAAUACAUCAAGAUUAGUUGCUAUAAAACAUGAGCAUCAUGUUGACUCCAGGAGCAAACCAAAAGACGACCAACAGUAGGAAAAAUAUUAUCAUCGCUAAAAGCAUGACAAUUCACAUCACAGAAUCAACCAUGGCUCCAUGGCCGGCAUGAAGAGGGGGCCAUAGCUUGAAAGAUAUGUCACAGAGCUAAGAAAACCAGGAAAUUACCAGAAUGAUUGUAGCCGAGGCUGUAUGGAAAACAUGACUUUGACUAUGUGAUAGUAUCUGAUUUAGAAAUGACGAAAGGCAUUGGCUUGGCAAGUAACCAAUAGGACACCAUCUUGGGUAUCAGGAAUGAUUCCACACAAGACAUCAGGAAAAACAUAAUUCGACAUAGAGUAGCUGAUGUCCUUGCUACAAGGGCAUCAUUCCAGCAGAACAAGCCAUAUGUGUGGAGAUAAAUUGCGACCUUUGUUCAGGUAGAAUGCGAGAAAACUUGGCAUUUGGAGAUACAGAUACGAAACAAGAGAAAACUCGACUAAUCCUUGGUCCUAAUGAGACCUUAAAUGACAUGUCAAUCGAGUGUUCUAGUGUUUUAGCCACUUUAUUAUUUAUCAAGCAUCGCAAGAAACCUUGUUUCUAUCCUCCAAUUUUUCUGUACUGAAGUAAUCCAUGGACAUAAGUAGUGUUAAAGAAAAGAUAUUUGUGUAGCAGGAAGAGCAAACAUCCAAUCUGUAGGAUUCAACACGAGUGUCAAGACUUGCAGGCAGGAGGCAAACAAUGAUAGACAUCAAUCCAUUCCAUUCUAUCUACACAACAAUCUCAUCUGGAUAUCAUGUUCACUUGGCAGAAUUCUAUUAUUAAAAUAUCAGCACUCAAUGAUUACUGUAGUAUCCAGAUAAGUAGAUCCAGGGAACAAAGGAACUCACAAGGUCCAUGUUGCAGAGCAGGAAGGAGAAGAAGCAAGCAGAGGGCGACGAUAGUCCAGCGCUUGGGGAACUGCUUCCACCAGGAAGGAGAAAAAGCUUCAUCUCUCCUCAAACAAAGCAGUGAUCAAUAGUCUUCUAAGGCUGUCGCUUCUAGAUCUUUGAAGGUGCCGCUUCAGCAGCGAUAUCUUUGCUUCUUCCGGCAUCCAACCAGUUGCUCCU
RNAcentral lists this long non-coding RNA (1307 nucleotides) under Triticum aestivum (bread wheat). RNAcentral's name for it is "long non-coding RNA (TAES_LNC002780)". Lineage: Eukaryota; Viridiplantae; Streptophyta; Magnoliopsida; Poales; Poaceae. The record is from RNAcentral.